GACGAACGCUGGCGGCGUGCUUAACACAUGCAAGUCGAACGGAAAGGCCCUGCUUGCAGGGUGCUCGAGUGGCGAACGGGUGAGUAACACGUGGGUGAUCUGCCCCUUACUUUGGGAUAAGCCUGGGAAACUGGGUCUAAUACUGGAUAGGACCAUGCUGUAGGUGGUGUGGUGGAAAGAUUAGUUUCGGUAAGGGAUGAGCUCGCGGCCUAUCAGCUUGUUGGUGGGGUAAUGGCCUACCAAGGCGUCGACAGGUAGCCGGCCUGAGAGGGUGGACGGCCACAUUGGGACUGAGAUACGGCCCAGACUCCUACGGGAGGCAGCAGUGGGGAAUAUUGCACAAUGGGCGCAAGCCUGAUGCAGCGACGCCGCGUGGGGGAUGACGGCCUUCGGGUUGUAAACUCCUUUCAGCCAUGACGAAGCCCUUGUGGUGACGGUAGUGGUAGAAGAAGCACCGGCUAACUACGUG
This 469-nucleotide ribosomal RNA is filed under the name uncultured bacterium. RNAcentral describes it as "partial 16S ribosomal RNA". It matches the Rfam family "Bacterial small subunit ribosomal RNA", at positions 28 to 507 of the family's 1533-position model. The record is from RNAcentral.